RNAcentral lists this ribosomal RNA (482 nucleotides) under uncultured bacterium. RNAcentral's name for it is "bacterial SSU rRNA". It matches the Rfam family "Bacterial small subunit ribosomal RNA", at positions 355 to 854 of the family's 1533-position model. The record is from RNAcentral.
UGGGGAAUCUUGGACAAUGGGGGCAACCCUGAUCCAGCCAUGCCGCGUGAGUGAUGAAGGCCUUAGGGUCGUAAAGCUCUUUCGCCUGUGAAGAUAAUGACGGUAGCAGGUAAAGAAACCCCGGCUAACUCCGUGCCAGCAGCCGCGGUAAUACGGAGGGGGUUAGCGUUGUUCGGAAUUACUGGCGUAAAGCGCACGUAGGCGGACCAGAAAGUUGGGGGUGAAAUCCCGGGGGCUCAACCCCGGAACUGCCUCCAAAACUAUUGGUCUAGAGUUCGAGAGAGGUGAGUGGAAUUCCAAGUGUAGAGGUGAAAUUCGUAGAUAUUUGGAGGAACACCAGUGGCGAAGGCGGCUCACUGGCUCGAUACUGACGCUGAGGUGCGAAAGUGUGGGGAGCAAACAGGAUUAGAUACCCUGGUAGUCCACACCGUAAAACGAUGAAUGCCAGUCGUCGGGUAGCAUGCUAUUCGGUGACACACCUA